RNAcentral lists this ribosomal RNA (263 nucleotides) under uncultured bacterium. RNAcentral describes it as "partial 16S ribosomal RNA". It matches the Rfam family "Bacterial small subunit ribosomal RNA", at positions 524 to 786 of the family's 1533-position model. The record is from RNAcentral.
UACAGAGGUCCCAAGCGUUGUUCGGAUUCACUGGGCGUAAAGGGUGCGUAGGUGGUCGGGUAAGUCUGAUGUGAAAUCUCCGAGCUCAACUCGGAAAUGGCAUUGGAUACUAUUCGGCUAGAGGGUUGGAGGGGGGACUGGAAUACUUGGUGUAGCAGUGAAAUGCGUAGAUAUCAAGUGGAACACCAGUGGCGAAGGCGAGUCCCUGGAAAACUCCUGACACUGAGGCACGAAAGCUAGGGGAGCAAACAGGAUUAGAAACC